This 839-nucleotide small RNA is filed under the name Paraconiothyrium sp. 1 NV-2015. RNAcentral's name for it is "eukaryotic LSU rRNA". It matches the Rfam family "Eukaryotic large subunit ribosomal RNA", at positions 50 to 906 of the family's 3401-position model. Lineage: Eukaryota; Fungi; Ascomycota; Dothideomycetes; Pleosporales; Didymosphaeriaceae. The record is from RNAcentral.
GCGGAGGAAAAGAAACCAACAGGGAUUGCCCUAGUAACGGCGAGUGAAGCGGCAACAGCUCAAAUUUGAAAUCUGGCUCUCUUUGGGGGUCCGAGUUGUAAUUUGCAGAGGAUGCUUUGGCAUUGGCGGCGGUCUAAGUUCCUUGGAACAGGACAUCGCAGAGGGUGAGAAUCCCGUACGUGGGCGCCUGCCUUUGCCGUGUAAAGCUCCUUCGACGAGUCGAGUUGUUUGGGAAUGCAGCUCUAAAUGGGAGGUAAAUUUCUUCUAAAGCUAAAUACCGGCCAGAGACCGAUAGCGCACAAGUAGAGUGAUCGAAAGAUGAAAAGUACUUUGGAAAGAGAGUCAAAAAGCACGUGAAAUUGUUGAAAGGGAAGCGCUUGCAGCCAGACUUGCCCGCAGUUGCUCACCUAGGCUUUGGCCUGGGGCACUCUUCUGCGGGCAGGCCAGCAUCAGUUUGGGCGGUCGGACAAAGGCCUCUGUCAAGUAUCUCCCUUCGGGGUGACCUUAUAGGGGAGGCGUAAUGCGACCAGCCCGGACUGAGGUCCGCGCAUCUGCUAGGAUGCUGGCGUAAUGGCUGUAAGCGGCCCGUCUUGAAACACGGACCAAGGAGUCUAACAUCUAUGCGAGUGUUUGGGUGUCAAGCCCGGGCGCGCAAUGAAAGUGAACGGAGGUGGGAACCCUUUGGGUGCACCAUCGACCGAUCCUGAUGUCUUCGGAUGGAUUUGAGUAAGAGCAUAGCUGUUGGGACCCGAAAGAUGGUGAACUAUGCUUGAAUAGGGUGAAGCCAGAGGAAACUCUGGUGGAGGCUCGCAGCGGUUCUGACGUGCAAAUCGAUCGUC